UUUUGUCAAAAUUGGUUGCGUUCGUACGUAUUAAUUUGGAAUGUUUUUUUUUUUUUUUUUUGUGUGGUCAAAUUUGUUAAUUUUAACAAUUAAUUUCAUAUUUAUACCUAAAUCACACGUAAUUUAAGAACCAAAAUGCUUUUUUUUUUUAAAUGAAAACAAUGUAACCUUUUUCCAUUUUAUGAAUUAUACGUGAUUUUAAGAAAACUUUCUAGUUACUUUUUAUGAAUAAACAUACUAAUGGUUUUAAAAUAUAUAAUGUAUCGUAUUAUUUAAUUUUUCAUGAACCAAAAAUUUCUUAUUGUUUUAUAAAUAAAAAGAAUGUGUAUAUAUUUGUUUACUAUUUUGAUGGACAAUAAUAUACUAAUUUUUUAAAAUUUACCUAGGAUGUUUUUUUAAAUAACGUACCUACUACAAAGUAACGUACCUGUUAUGAAUGGUAUGUUGUAUAUUAGGUGCAUUAUUAUAUGUAGGUAAAUUAGUGUGGGCGCAAAAUAUAGGUAAAAUAAUGUACCUAUUUGUAAAUAAUGUACAUAUAUUUCAUUUUGUAAAUAAUGUACUUAUAUUUUCUAUAAAGAAUGUAUUAAUAGCUAUAUAUAUUUUUAUUAUUUUUAUAAGUACAUUAUUUAUUGGAUAUGUAAUUUAGGGAUUUUAGUUUUUGGUUUAAAUUUUUUUUAGAAAUUGCCAAUGGGUUAGAAGGGAGUGCCAAGCAAAAGAAAGAGGUGAUUGAUAUGCUAUUAAUAGGGAAUAUUAAUUAUAUUUGAGGUAGUUAAUGACGUGCUUGAAAAUAAAUAUGAAAGGUAAAUGACAUAUAUUGUAAUUUAUGUGAUUUGGUCUAUCUCAUAACCAUCGCCCAGAGCCCCAUAUUGUGCCCCUUACACCCCAUCUAGGGCUGUCAAUGGCUCGUGUCGUGUCGAAGUCGUGUCAUGUCAAGAUUAUGUACAUGUUAAGAAUGCUCAACCCAAACCCGACCUAUUUAAUAAACAUGUCAUGCACGAGUUGACCCAUUAAUUUCUCAUGCGGGUUUCGGGUCGUGUCGAGUUGACCCGCUAAGUAGUUGCAACUAAAAGAUAUUAAAAAAGAAGAAAAAUGAAGAAUAAACAAAUAAACGGGUUAGUGGGUUGGCGGGUUACAAUGGUAUUUUAGCGCGGUGGUGGGUUACAUAGGUAUUUUAGUUGGUUAGCGGGUUUACCUGCCAUGACCCGUUUUGUUAAAUGGGUUAUAUAAGUAUUUUUGCGGGUUGGCGGGUUGACCCAAAACUCACCCGUUUAUGAAACGAGUCAUGCGAGUUGAUCCAAAAAUGACCCGAAUUUUAAUCGUGCUGGUUGAACCCUCUAAAUUCUCGUGCGAGUUUCAAGUCGUGUAACGGGUCGUACCCGAAAUUGCCACCCCUAACCCCAUCCUCCAUGCCCCCUCCUCAUAUCCCUCUAUCUCUCUUCCUUAGCGAGAGGCUAUUGUAGACUGACGAUUUCAAGAUCUCGUCAAGUUGGCUAGCCAUGGUGGUUUUUACAGCAACAAUUUUGAUGUAGAUGAUGACUGAAAAUUCUUUAUUUAGGAAACUAAAGGCAGAGGGGAGAAAGAGGAAGUGAUAUGGAUAGAGUGGGUAUAGGGUGUUGGGUUUAGGUAUGGGGUCUAUUAAGGUGGAUGUGGGUAGGGGAUGGGGGUUGGGAUUGGAGUGUCAAAAGUCUUAGUUACCCCCACAAAUAUAACAUGUGUUGUUCACGUGACUAAAUUUAAUAGAAAAUAUGACAGUAACAUGUGCUGCUCAAAAUAUAUGCAUAUUAAAAAGCCCUAUUAGAAAAGGAAAAAAAAAAACAUAAUUGAUGAAUGAAUUUUGUGUCUUUUCUUGUAAAGAGAGCAGUGGUAGCAGUAUAUUGUUGUCACAAUAUGAAACCGAACUAACCCUUAUCACUUACCAUUUCCAUAGAUAAAUCAUAACAAUAAGGAGUAUUUAUCAACCUUUUUUUUUUUCCAUUAUCAUAUAGAUGUAAUGUAUUUUGAAAUGACUAUUUAACCCUUUCGAAUUUUUAUAAAUGAUUAGGUAUAAUUAAAAAAAAUCAUCUUCUUCUUCGUAUGGGAGUGUUCCGAUAAUGUUGAAUAAUUGAAAGAAAAUAAUAUUCAAGGAUAAACUUAAAUACAAAUGAAGAACAUAGGAUACUUAACCCUCUUGCGUUGCACAUCUCCCUUUUUGGUUGAAAUUGUACAUUUAAUUCUUCUAUUAGUUUUAUUUAUUAUUAUUUUAAAAUUCAACUAAUUAAUUCUAGAUUGUAAAAAUAGAAAGAGAUAAUAAAUUCCCAACUCAACUUUUGGUUUCUUCUUGUCACAAAUGCAUGGUACACCCCCAUCAAUCUCAAGCAUUGUGGGAUGCAUUUCCAAAGCCACACCCACACACAUGCCAUCAGGUAGGCGCUUUAAAGUUGGACAGCUAAAUUUUACCGACGAUCGAUAUGCAUUACAAUCGUGAAAUUAAAAUUUCUGGGAUAAUUGGCCUUUAAAUGUGGCAUGUUCCAACCAAUUACCCAAGGUCAAUUGUGGGGAUUUUGAAAUUUUCACUUUUAAGGCUUUUUAUCUUAAAAUAUAUAGAAGAUAGAUUAUUAUAACUAGGUCCUUGACACAUGCUCACGCAUGUGCCAAUUGGUUUUCUUUUUCUUUUUUAUUUUAUUUUUAGAAUUAAUAAAAGAUAAUAGGGUAGUUAUGUUCCAUAAAAGUAGGACCUAUUAUCUUAUUUUGUUUUUAAUUUUAAUUUUUUUAAUAUUAAAAAAUAUGAAUUUACCAUAUUAUCCUCAUUUAAUUAAUAAUUUCAAUUCUUAAUGUUUGAAUUAACAAAGGGCAUUUUCUGGUAUUUUGAAUGUUUCACCAUUUUCUGCCUUUUGCUUUAUAUAUACUAGCCUCUCUGCACGCGCUUCCGCGCUUGCGAGAGGUUUUUUAAAAAAAAUAAGUAAAUUUAUUUUAGAAUUAAAAAAGAUAAUGGGUAGUUGUGUUCCAUAAAAAUAGGAUCCAUUAUCUGCUUUUUCUUUUUCUUUUAAUUUUUUUAAAUAUGAAAAAGUGUGAAUUUACCAUAUUAUCCUCAUUUAAUUAAUAAUUUGAAUUCUUAAUGUUUGCAUUAACCAAGGGCAUUUUCUGGUAUUUUGAAUGUUUCACCAUUCUCUGCCUUUUGCUUUAUAUAUAUAGAUAAAUGAAUAGGGUAUUUCAUCAAAUUACCUUCUGAAUUUGUACAUAAUUAUUAAUUUACUUCUUGACUUUUUAAUAGACGGUAGAGGGAACAUUAGGAAUAAAAGUUAGUACUAGACCUUAAUUUUCUAAAUAAAAAAGGUCAUGGGGUAAAUUAAUAAUUAGGUACAAGUUCAGUGGGUAAUUUUAUGAAAUACCCUAAUUAAUGAAAAAUGAGUUUAUUAGCUAGCAAAAUUCUUAUUAAGAAAAAAAUUUAACUGGUGAUUUGUCCCCUGAACUUAUACCCAAGUUUUGUUUUAUACCAUAUCAUUUUUUUGUUAGAAAAUUAAGGACUCGAACUAAUUUUUUUCACCAAUUUACCCCCUGACGUCAAAAUUUGCCACUUCCGAUUCAUUCUACCAUCAAGUUGAUGUUUUGGUGGAGAUGCGAAAUGAAAAAAGUAACCUCCAACUUGACGGCGGAAUGGAUGAGAAGUGGCAGAUUUUGACAUCCGGAGGCAAAUUGGUAAAAAAAUUAGUUCGGGUCCUUACUUUUCAAAAAAAAAAAAGAAGAGAUAAGGGGUAAAUUAAAACCUAAGUACAAGUUAAGGGCAAAUCACCGGUUAAUCCUAAAAACAAGAGUAACUAACAACAAAGCAUAGUUCAACAACUGAGAAUCAAACCAAUUCGAAGACAAUUGCAAGGCUGAGAAUGAAAUCAGUUCAGAAACCACUGCAUAUUCUCUCCCUUGCCUCAAAAUCCACUAUCACACCACGCACAUUUUCCACUUCCACUUCUGCUAUUGAUUCAAUUACUGCACCGAAACCAACCAAUCAAACUCAGACUCAAAGUCUAACUCAAGAAGAGCACACAAAGAUCAACCUCCUCCUCCCACGCCUCUGCCUCUUAAACCACCUCGACACAGCAACCCACCUCACCAUCACAGCCCUGCUCACAAACCCACCUCUCAAAUCUCUCUCUUUGUCCAUUCUCAUCCACUCCUUCACUUCCCAACCCGACAUGGCCCGACCCAUGUCACUUUUAACCCGCCUCAGGCACAACCCACCUUCACAUCCCUAUCUCACGCCCAUCACAACCAUGUUCAUUGCCUCAUAUUUCAAGAAAAAUAAACCCAAAGAGGCCCUCAAAAUGUUCAACUGGUUGGUAAGGCCAGGCUCUCCAUGUGUGCUCGAUGAGAGAGUUUGUGAGGUUUUGGUUAAUGGGUUCUGUAAGAAUGGGAUGGUUCUUGAGGCUUUGAAGGUUUUGAGGGCCAUGCUGAGUACGAAUAUCGUGCCGGGAUGUGAUCUGAAGAAGUGGGUUUAUAAGGUUUUGUUGAGGGAGGCUAGGAUUAAGGAGGCAGUGGAGUUGAAUGAGGCUUUGGGUUGUGUUGGGGAUAGAGAGAAAGGUGAUGAAUCAGAAUGUGUGAAGAAGGUUUUGGCUUUGUUGGAUCACAUGAUUGGCAAUUGGGCAGAAUAGAGCAGGUAUAGGUUUCUGGACGAUUGCUUACAAAUGACUUAUCUUUGCUUUCAAUUAGAGGUCCUUUUAUGAAUACCUUUUACAAAUUACUUAUCUUUGUUAUAAGAUGCGGACAAUUUAUCUGUGUGGUAUUGAAACUUUUUGUAUUAGUUCUCAAUUGAAGAACAAUUUUUUUUUUCUUGACCCUAAGUUUGUAAUAUUUGCAUUGAUAUGGCCAAAAUUUGAACUGAAUUUUUUUCAUGAAUUAAAAUAGCCAAUAAAUAGCAUUCUCAGCUGAUAGGAAUGUUCUUCUGCUUUCGUGUGCUUUCAGAAAAUGAGAUUUUCUGAAACGAAUGUCUUAUCAAGCUAGUACUCACCUUAAGUGCUUUCUUGGAGUGUUUCUUUUGUUCAGUCUUCCGUUUGGUAGGAUGAUGCUAUGAUAGAACUAUAUAUUCACUUACCAACAGGGAGUCAUUUCUGUGUGAUUUCAGGUACUAUGUCGAUGUAAACAUAAUUCCUUUUCAUAUGUACCGGAGUAGGUAUCUUUAGAACAAUGUUGAUUGUGAUGGUAUCUACUGUCUCGACUUAAUAACUCAAGAUGAAGAAUUUUCUUUCUUACAUGAUAUGGUACUCAACUACAUGUUUGGUUUUGAAUGUAGUGUGGCUUAGAAUUAAGUUCUCCUCCUUCAAUUGUUCAACAUUAGGUAUAUUGUUCAUAUUUCCUAUAUAAAGUUUGAUAAUCGGCCUUAGCCUUCCAGAAAGGAUUAUAUCUUUUCCAUUCGCCUAACUAAUUUUAAAUACCAAACUGUGAACAGUAUUUUACCAUGCUGUGUGUGUAUGCAAUCUAUCAUGUGAUCCAUUUGUGCUCCGUAAUAGUUUCAAAGACUACUAGCUAUUGCCUCUGUCAGGAUGAAUUCAAUUCUGAUUACUUUCUCUAUCUCUAGUAGACUUGAUACCAUUUUGCUUGAUGUUUUUUUUUUUUUGGGGGUCAAACAUCUUGCUUGAUUUCAAUUUUCAAGUAAAGGCCACUGUUAUUACUGUUAAAGAGAGUAGCUUUCUACAGAGAACAGGUGUUUUCUUUAAAUUGGUAACAUGAUUCAUGCAUUCUUAAACUCUAGGUCUGUAUCAUCACUGGCCUUCUUCUAUGUAGUAAGCAUUAUAUUUAGGUCAUACUAAAUUAAAAAAUAUGGCCAAUCUCUUUUAGUGGGUAUGAAAUUGUGAAUUGUAUUUUAAAUUGUUCAUUAAGUUGUAAGUCAGCAAGUCUCAUGCACUACUUGAGCCUGUUUAAUUGUGUUUAAUUGAUCUUUUCAUUGAUGCUAGUAUUUCUGUAACCGGCUCUUGGAAAGGUGUAAGGUGCCGCACUUUUGUGAAGAUUGCUGUUUACUACUGCAUGAUGUUUGGGGAUCUGCUGUUGCUAUUACAUGUUCCAUAGCUAAGGGCUUCAGAGCUGUAAACAAAGUCCUGCAUUCUGCACAGGGUCUGGCCGUUAUAGUUCUGCAUUCUGCAUAGGGUCUGGCUGUUAUAAUCCUGCAUUCUGUACAGUGUCUGUCCUUUCGUAUGCCAUUUUCAUCUUCUGUUUUAGAGGCAGUUGAGCAGAAAAGAUUGCCUUAGUGCGUUUGUGAAAUGGUGAUUGUUGCUGAGUACCAGCAGGGUAGAAGCAUGGCACUGAGACGUGAAGAAAUCACAGAUAGCAUCAUGCCUAUGGCACAUUGGGUUUUGUUGUGCUCCCAUUCUUUGAUGGAGGCCUCUUUUGGGUGGACCUGUGGCUGAGUCUUUCCACAAUCAAUUGUAACCGAAAAAGAAGAAAAGCCUCAGAGAACUUCCGAGGUCCUAGGAUGUCAAGGCAUGAAAAAUGUUGUCUGUUUUUUCCCUUGAUCCCUCAAACUUGAUAUUGUAAUGGUGUAUUUGUGACAUUGCCAAAUAUGCCAAGUUAUAUCAACUGAUAUUGGUAUGUAAAUUUUGACUGAGACAGCAUGUGAAUGCAAUGUUCAACUCCAUCACUUGAGAGGGCACUUGGAUUCCAUAACCGGAAAAGAUGCUACAUUUUAUGUCAAUAUUCAAGAGUCCUCAGAGGAUUUUUAUGGGCUUUGUUCAUACUUAACAAUGCACAUAAGAGGAAAUUUUAGUACAAAGUUAUUUCUCUUCUCAAUUAUAAAUUUGAAUCCCUUCCCUCUUAUUUCUCUUCUUAAUGUGGGAAUGAUUUCAAAAUUAAAUCUCCUCUCACUCUUGAUAUAAAAAAGACAUUACUUCCGUCUUACAGAUCACAGUUUGAUACAUAUACAAAAACAACUCAUCGAAAAUACAAAGAGGAAAAUUUUUGCACACCUGUAAAUUGUGAAUGACAUAAUGUAAGUAGGGAUGGCCACACCAAGAGGACACUGGCAUUUCAAUUAAUCAAUAAUAUUUUCUUUUUCUAAUUGGAAAAUAAAAUAAUAAUAAUAAUAAUAAUAAAAGAGAAGUACAUCUUUAAACUUGAAAAGAUAGAUUUUUGGAAUGAAACAAGAUGAUUACGGUAGGGAAAAGAACCAAAGUUAUUAAAAUAUAUAUAUAUAUUAAAAAAAGAGCACAAAAACAUGUCUUUUCUCGUACUCAUUCAUUCGAGUUUAAAACACUGAAACAGGGGAGGACACUGUCAAAAGUGGAUAACGUUUCCCAGUUCGUCACUUACUUCUAACACUUGUUGCUGCUGCUUUGGUUGCUUUGCUGCCAUCAAAUAUGUUGUUGGAGUUUCAAUUCUAAUACUGUCUCUUCUCUCCAAUGGCCUCUUCUUCUCUUCCUCUGCAUCACCCCUCCCAUUGCCUCAUCUCCAAUCGUCAGGUUCCAUCUCUUUCUCUCUCUCAUUUUCUUUAUUUUUUUAAUCUGUCUGAUUAAUUUUGAUGCGUGUCUGAAGCAGUUGAAAGGUUCCAACUAUGGAUGGUCACCACUACCCAGAUAUACUGUCCCUACUAAAGACGCAGUAAAAGGCAUUCGAAUUCAACCCAUUAAAGCAAAAGCAGCCACCGAAGCUCCUCCGUUCUCUUUGUUUCAGCCUCCUGAAGCUGAAGGGUCUGCCUCUGAGGUAAUACCCAUUUCUUGUUCUCCUUUAUGCUCUGUUUGAUUGCUCAGAAAAUGUAGGGAAAUUGAAUUUAGAACACUGAAACAAUUUUCAAAAUUUAAGGUAACAUUUUGUUAACAAUUAAGUUGUAUCCGCUUUGUUUUGUGGCCUCUUAACUGAAAAUUGCAUCUUUUAAAUGAAAGAAAGUAUCUUCGAAGUGUUUGGUGGUAACCACACAAUUAUGUUCAUAAAAAACCAGAAGAGCAUAUAUGUAGUAUUAAACCAAUAGGGGAGAGAGCCAUACUUGGUUUAACUUCACUGCAACAUUCACACCUUUAUUUUGUAAUGCCUACAGUUGGAGCCAGCGGACCCUGAUUUCUACAAGAUAGGGUAUGUUAGAAGUAUGAGAGCUUAUGGAAUUGAAUUUAAAGAAGGACCAGAUGGGUUUGGAGUUUAUGCUUCCAAGGAUGUUGAACCACUUCGCCGGGCUAGAGUGAGUUGUUUCUAUCCGAUUAUAAUAAUCUGUUGCACUUACUAUAGAGUGUGUGUGAGUACAGCUCCAUGCAUAAUGCCACAUUAAGUGUCAGUGUCUCUGAUGGUUUUGACAGCCCUUGGUUUAUGAUGAAGUGUUGAGUUCCAAUGACUAGUUUUUGGUAUUAAUGUUGCUUUGUUCUCAAUUUCACAGGUAAUAAUGGAAAUUCCACUAGAACUGAUGUUAACUGUAAGCCAAAAGCUCCCAUGGAUGUUUUUUCCAGAUAUAGUACCAGUGGGUCAUCCAAUAUUUGAUAUCAUUAACUCAACUGAUCCAGAGGUAAAUGUGUUUUACUUAAUUUCAGCUAUCAAGGAUUGAUAGCUGAUUUGUAUAAUCAUUCAUUUACUGGGAAAAUUUUUUUGUCAAUUAUUCUAGUAUUUCUUCAUGGAAAUAGCAUUUUGUUCAAAUUAUGAAUUGACAUUCAAUUUCUAUUGCCUUCCUUUUUGUGGCAGACAGAUUGGGAUCUGAGGUUAGCAUGCCUUCUUUUGUACGCAUUUGAUCGGGAAGAUAACUUUUGGCAGUUGUAUGGUGAUUUUUUACCCAGUGCAGAUGAGUGCCCCAGCUUGCUUCUAGCUAGUGAGGUAGAUGAAUUUACAAAACAUAAAUCUUUAUUUAUAGUAUUUUUUUUUUAAUAAAAAAAAAACUUGCGUAGUUUAGUACUAUUUAUUUCUUUUGGCUUCAUUCAUGAGUUCAUGAGUGAUAAAAAUAAACAUAGGCAUGCAUCUUUCUUCUUUGAUUUAUACCUAUAAGAUCUAGAGCUUUAACAUGUAUUGCAAUUUUUAGAUUUGAGGCUCUUCUUGAGCAAAGCAUCAGGUAAAAUUUUAGAAGGCCAAUUUAAAGCUUAAACUUGAAAUUGUCAUUUGUUAUUAAGAUUUGCAUCCAAGGCCUUCAGUGUGCCUGAUGUCGCAGACACAUCUGUAGCUGUCAUGUAGCCUUCGAUAAUGCAUCCACAUUGUUUGGGCCUCUUGAAGUUUUGUAAAUAAGUACUCUUAAUCAUGCUUUUCUUAGCUUUUGCUCCAUAUAUGCUAUAGGAGGAGCUUUCAGAACUGCAGAAUCCCAAUCUUGCUUCAACUAUGAGAGAACAGCAACGUCGAGCCUUGAAAUUUUGGGAAAAAAAUUGGGUAUUUAGCAGCCUCUGUAUCUUGUAUCUCAGAAAGCAUUCUUGUUAUCAUUAUUAUUGUGCAGAAUAAAAUGCUUACCCUAACUUUUAACUGAUUGUGCAUAUGUUGUAUGUGUGCUAACCUGAAUCAGCACUCUGGUGUACCACUAAAAAUUAAACGCCUUGCUCGUGAUCCUGAGAGAUUCAUUUGGGCAUUGAGUAUGGCACAAUCACGAUGCAUUGGCAUGCAAAUGAGAAUUGGUGCACUUGUUCAAGAUGCAAACAUGCUAAUUCCAUAUGCAGGUAAGCUUGUAUCCACCUAUACUCUUUGAUUAAAAAAAAUUUAUCGUGAAUAUAUUAUAAAAUUAGAUGAGUAAUCGCAAUUUAGAGGGGGGAAUCAAGAACUUAUCUUUGUCCUAAUGAGUUAUAUAUAAUGUUCUUAAUCCAGUUUUGUUUUUCUCUUAGACAUCUUUGUCCAUUUGAAAUUGGUAAGAUGUCGAUGAAGACACAACAUUGUGUAUGAAAUUUAUUUUCUUUUUGCAUUAGUUGUAUUAUGUACGUAUACUAUUUCUGUUUUCACUUAUUGGGAUUUCGAAGCAAAUGAUUUCCUUAAACUACCUGCGUUCACUUACUAUUUAUAUUCCCCAUUUUGUUAUUAGAUGGCUGUCUAAUCAAUUUGCUAAAUUCUGCAGAUAUGCUAAACCAUUCCUUUGAGCCAAAUUGUUUUUUCCAUUGGCGUUUUAAGGAUCGCAUGCUGGAAGUGAUGAUAAAUGCUGGAAAACGGAUUAAGAAAGGUGACGAGGUAAUGCCUAUUCUGUUUUCUCAAUUGAUGUUGAUAAUUUCCUUUCAUAAGUAAAUGCUUGCAAGGAGUCUUAUGCUAAGGCUUUUAGUUUACAUAUAUGAAGAUGAUCUGCUACUAAUUUGGAGGAAUAUUUACAGAUGACUGUCAAUUACAUGAGUGGACAACAGAAUGACCUGUUGAUGCAAAGAUAUGGUUUCUCUUCACCUGUGGUAAUGUGCUCUUGGCCAUAUUCUACUAAAAAGAAAUACUAUAUACCUUUUUUUUUCUUUUAUCCUAUUCUUUUACUGAUUUGAAUUGUCAAUCUAGUCAAGUUAAAGAGUAACAUGGUAAAAGAAAGAGAUUAUUUUUCUUCUUUCUACUUCGGUUGAGCAUGUUCCAUAAUUGUGGUGAUAUUUGUACUUCUCUAAAAUUGAGUGCUCUUAUUCUGGCUUGGAAUUGCAGAAUCCUUGGGAUGUGAUUCAGUUCUCCGGAAAUGCACGUAUUCAUUUGGAUUCCUUCUUGUCAGUAUUCAAUAUAUCUGGACUUCCUGAAGAGUACUAUCAUAACAGUAUGAGAUCUCUCUGUGCCUUGUUCUAUAUUUGUUGUCAUAUAAAUUUUAAACCAAGCAGCAUCAUAGUUUGAAAGGUCUGUAUAAAACUUAUAGCAGGUCGCCUAUCUAAUGAUGGAGAUACUUUUGUUGAUGGAGCAAUCAUAGCAGCGGCAAGAACAUUGUCCACUUGGUCAGAUGGGGAUGUGCCUCCAAUCCCAAGCAUGGAAAGAAGAUCUGUAAAGGAGUUACAGGAAGAAUGCCGACAGAUGCUGGCAGUGUAUCCUACUAACUCUAAGCAAGACCAAAAAAUUCUAGGUGAGGUUGCCAUGCAGAUCGUCAAAUAUUUGGGGAAACAUCGUGGCCAUUAUAUUUUUCUUGUUUUGGUUUCUGUGGUAACUUAUGGGUAAAACCAACUCUAUCUUGGCAUUGGAAAUUCAUGUUUCUUCCCAUCUUACUCUCUACAGAUUCGAUGUCAGAUGCUAGUAGGACACUUGAAGCUGCAAUCAAGUAUGUAAUCAUCCCAUUAUUCAUCCCAGAGCUUUUUGGUCUGUAGGGCAAACUAGGGCAAACUAAAACCAUUCUGAAUGAUUUAAUUGCUGAUCCGGACUUAUGCAGGUAUAGGUUGCACAGGAAGUUGUUCGUAGAGAAGGUCAUGCAAGCGCUGGAUAUAUACCAAGAGCGGAUGUUAUUCUGAUAAAACUUGCAAGUUUACGAAAGCUAGGAAAUUUUUGUGGCAUGCCAAUUGGCCAAAACUCUGCUGGUGACAGGAAUUUUCAUGUCUAAAAUAUAUGAAUGUGGGCAGAGAUUUUUCUAGUUUUUCUUAUCUUUUCAAAUGGUAGCUGAUCAUGUUAACGAACCUGCUGGUGGUUGGUAGGACGAAUGUGACAUGAAAUAGAAAACAGAAAAAGGGCUGCAAAUUGAGUGAAACAUAUGAUAUCAUUUGUUUGACACUAGUGCAAAUUGAAUACUUUUUUUUUUUUUUUUACUUCUUUGUUAAUGGGGAGAUAGUCUUGAAUUUCACACCUAUUCCUUUCUUUUAAACUAUCGAACGAGUUGUGUAGUGCAACAAAUGUGAUCAUGUACCUUUCUACGACUUCUAUGAUGACUAACAGAAGAAUUGUGCCUUCUAAAGUGUUAAAAUGCACCCUUGCAUCGCCUAGAGAUUUUACAUGAGAUUUCUUGCGUACUAUUGAACUUAUGAAUGUCCAGUUAAUGGUUGAAACUUAUGUGAACUUUUGCCUGUGAUUAGGAGUUUAAAUUUAUGAUUUAUCAGUAAAACUUUCAUGUUACAUGCUUCAUACUCAUUCAAUAAUGUCUAUCCCAUCGGAGAAAUAUGAAAGGUUUUCUCCUUGACCAGCUUGUUAAAAAGUUUUAAUUAAAUAAAUAUGUAUUUGUGACACAAUUUCUCAUUCACGGAAAAAUAUUUGUCAAACUAGCCAACUUAUAUGUUUAGGUGCUUCCAAUAUCCCACCUAUACAAGCAUAAAAGUGAAAUUCAUUGGAUGUCUAAUAAUCCUAUCACAGUAGGCAUGCAACAUGGGCGUUAAACAAGGAUUUUGAAACAUCUUCCUAAUUGUGGACACAAGGCAAGCAGAAUCUUGUUUCACAAUCCUUUUGUUUUUGUCUUAUUUGAUUUUCCUCUGCUUUUAUGUGUGUUGUUAUCAUUACAUCGAUCCUUGAUUUUCUUCAAACCAAAAUUUACAUCUGAGCACUUUCAUCUACACACAGAAAAGUGUUAUGUGAAGAAAAUCUCAUGUAUACAGAUAUCUCCCAAAUUCAUCCUAAACUGGUUUCGUGUAAUCGAAGUGGUCCUUCCCCUGCUUUGCCUAAGAGCUAGCUAAUAAAUGGAGAUGAGUAUCCACAGGAAGCUUUUGCAUGAAAACUGUCCGGCUUAAGGAUGCCUUUUCACGGAAUUGAUUCUUUAGCUUUUGUUUCUGCAUAUAGCAGCAACAUUUUUUAGAGACAAUUGUUGACAACAUGCUAACUGGAAGGAAGACUGCUCACAAAGUCAAAGAUUUAGUUACCUUAUGCUGAGCCAUGUCGUAGAGGUUCUGCCUCGGCGGUAUGGACUUGAUUGGCUUGCUGACUGUCCAAAGGCAUGUAUUGGGACAUGAUAGCCAUGAUCUCCGAGUCCAUGUAAGACUGCAAGUGCAAGUAAAAAAUUUUAACAAGGGCACAGUUCCUAGUUUAGUAUACAAAUUAACUAAAGAUGAAAAAAAGAGCUGGUCAAAGGAGCAUCUUUAGACAUACUCGAAGCCUGUAUUUGUAGAAGAUAUAACCAGCUAGGCCAACUCCCACCACAGCCGCAAGGACCAAGAAAGUUAAAAACCAGGCAAAUCUCGACCCGUGCCUCUCUGCAUUUAAAUGGAUGAACAAACAUGAAGACAUAUAUCUUGCAGGAUGGCCAACAUCCCCAUCGGUUUGAAAUUAAGUAUCAACGUCGCCCGGUGACAAUCAACACAAGGCCCGCCAUAUAAUGAGCUAAUUGGAGCAUUAAAGAGAAAGACUGUCAUAUUAACAUUUAAAUAAAAAUUCGACAGCGUUUAGGAAAGAAAUUUACAAUCAUGUUCACAUUUAAAUAUAGUUUUACUGAUCCUCUAAAUAAACAGUGAUGGCUAUCUCAUCAUGUGAAUAUCAUAAUUAGUCAUUGACAUAACAAUGAAUUAGUGAUUAUGACUCAAAUGUGCUGUCUUACCAAUACAAGUAUCUUGAUCCUUCAUAUACAACUGUCCUCCCUUACAUUUGCAGUAGUACCCACCCCAAGUGUUCUUACAGCUGCAACCAUCACACUGACAAGCAGUACGCUCCUUGCAUUCGUUUAUAUCUGAUGCACGGUGAGAAAACAAAAAUGAAGAUGAUGUUUUAUGGAUAUUAGGUUUCAAAAAGCCUUGAAAAAUUGAAUAUUUAUUCCACAAGAAGAAAAUUAUUCUUCAAUAGAUUAGUCACGUUGGAACUCAAAAUCACCUUCACAUUUAUGACCAUCCCCUUGAAAGCCUUGUGGACAUUUGCAGCCAGAUAACUCAGAAUUCUGUUUGUAUAACAAAGGGAAAAAUAAAAGAAUUUAGAGAAAAAAAAAAUAAAGAAGGAAAAACAUGAAGUUUGGAGGUCUAAUCUCAUGAAACUGCAACAGAACUCUCUAUAAUAAAUACGUUUAAAAACAAAACAAAAAAUGAGAAAUCUGUCCCAGAAGCACAGAGAACCACUAAUUAAGUGAAAGAUUAUGAUAAACAUCACUGAACUGAGCAAGCCGAGAAUAUUAAUCCAUUUCUAGAGUCUGACCAGCACCCUCCAUUGUUUAUUGCACACCUUGCAGGUCCAAAAGCUGUCAAGAAAGGAGUAAAUAUUUUAGGAAUAACUCUCUUCCACAAAUUAAUCAAAAGGAAGAUUUGCUUCUUCUAUUUUUGUUAUUAAGAGAAGGUUUACCAUGACAAGAUGUAUAACCAUUGCCUCGAUACUGAACACCGCUCACUACAGGGCACUCACAAACUCUUCCCCUAAAUGUGUCCUGACAAAAGGAACCAAUUAACAUGCACUUAGAAUCUGUAAUUCAUAUAGGAACAUUGUCAUAGGUGGCAUAAACUAUAAAAGUCAAAUGUAAAAUUUUAUGCAUACCUUGCAAGCAGUUAAAUUAGAUUUGUUGUCCUGCCAACACCCACCAUUCCUCUCAAGACACUCAUUUGUCUCAAGAUCUGUUGAAGUAACACAAAGGAUUGAGAGGAGGAAAGGGAAGGAGAGGAAAGGAAAAGGAAAUCAGUACAUUAUCCAAACAUCAAGAAACAGACAUCAGUAUAGACUGGAAAAUGAAACAAGCACACCAACCUCCGCUCAAACAAAUUGGAGGAUCAGCUGUCUCCUUAAAUCCAGCACAUAUAGCCUUUAGCACAGCAGUUCUCUCCAAUUUUCCUUCAGAUCAAUAAAAACAAAAACUUUAGCAUUCUGUUGAAGUAUAAUCAAUAGAGGUACCAGGGAAGCUGUAACAAACCUCGAUACUGAACAUUAUUAAUAACCAAUGUUGGCAAGAUGGUAACAUCACCACGAGAUCCUCGCCCAACCUAAAUAUAACAAAGAGAAAAAGGAAAGCAAUAAUAAGAUAAUCUGUUGAAUAUUGUGGUUACAUGUACAUUGAUCCAAGAACAGUGGUGGGUCUCAACAAAAAGAGGUAAAGAACAUAGGGAAAUGGAGAAAAAGAAGCAAGUAUGACCUGGAUUUCUUGUUCUGCUUUCAGCACUGCAUUCUCAACAUCAUCUUCUGGAUUGCCCAUACAUUUUUUAAUCUUGUCAACAGGUAAAUCUGCAGCAAUCAGAUUAAAUAUAUUAAAAACACAAAACAAGCAUUAUUCCAUACACAGCAAUAACAAAACAUGCCAUUUACCAAGUGAUUUCAUGACAUCCUCAGCGCAUUCUUUGCUGUACUUCUUUUCUUUCAUGGAACAUCUGAUAUGGAAGUCUGUCACAUAAUCCCACCAAACCCAUGACCGGUUGCUCUCAUUCGCAACUCUAUGUACACAAAGCUGCCUCAAGUUCUCAUAUACUACAUCCUUCCCUUGAUACCCUUCCCCUAAAUCUUUCUCUGGAUCUGGUGCACAGUAUCUCCCAUGGUUUAUGCACUGCGACUUGCAUUGAGUUGUAAGGGUGAAAGCCUGAGGGCAAUACCAAGUUAUAUAAUGUGGAGUGAAGAGAGUGUAACCCCCUCUCUCAAGAAUCUGAGCAUGGCCCUUGAAAUUUUUCACAAAAGUCAUUUGUUCAUCGCAUCGAGCCCCGCACUCAUCAUUGCUGUUUGUCCAGAACUCGUAUUCAACUCUUUGAUCGGGGUGGGGGACUGACUCUCUCCAGUCAAGUUUCACCACAACAUCGUUGCUGUUCUUUAAAGCUUCCUUCAAGCUAUCACCAAAGGAUUUCUCUAUCAAAGCAGAUGGAAUUCUUAUCUUCUCUAUGUAACCAUCUGCAUCAGUGCUCUCCUCUGGAGAAUCCAUUGUUAUUAGAGGCUCUUCAAUAUUGUCAGCCACUAAAACAGCUGUAGCUCCAGCCUCUUGAGCAUUCCAGACCUUCAAAGCAAAGUAGCAACCUACAAGGGCAAUAGAAUAAAGUUGUCUGAGUAGAAUCCAAGAAGCAUGGUUCUGUAACAUACGACUCACAACAAGGUUCAAUUGCUUAUGAUUAGACAAUGUAAAAGGCUAUUGGAAUUAUUGUUCUGAUUCAUUUCAUCCAAUUCAGGAUUUAAAUAGCAACCAUAGCGUAAAGAAAUGAAAGUUCAUGCGGCUUUGACCCCAGAAAUAAAAACAAAAUGAGCAUCUGAAUUGGACAGUUAGAAAGAGUUCAGUAUCUAUUUCACAUCAAUUGAACAGUUAAUGAAAAGCUAAAACCAAAAGGCAAUAGAAUAGAAGACUGAAAAGAGACUUUUGAUGAGUCGAUGUUACUAAAAUAGAACUAAGGGUCGGAGAACAGGGGAAAAGCAGAGCUACUACAUGAAAGCAUGCUUAAAUUCACAACCUCCAAUAACGAAUCGAAAAAAAGAAACCAUUUUUGAAAACAUCUCAUGCUAGCUGGAGCAGUCACUAAAUUGAACAAAUUCAAUUCAAACAAGGAAACUUAAAGCUCACCCUUCUCCAAUCUGUAGGAAUUCAAAACACACGACAAAAAAGGAAAUUAAACUAUAAAAUAAAAUUAAAAUUAAAAAACCGUUGCAAAAAAAAACAAAUACCCAUUUCUAGACAGACUUUAUUGCAUGAUCAUCAAUCAAAUUCUUAAGAAGCAUAGCAAUGGGGGAAAAUGAUCUCGAUUCUCAAGUCAAACUUACUGAGACAUCAGGAGAGAGAGCAUAAGGACUCUGAAAUUUACGAAUUGCAGAGAGAAAUAGAAUGAAUUGAUUUACCUCCACGAUCAAGAACAGCAAUGGUGGGGCGAGAAUUCCGAGACUUGAAAGGUUUAUCACCCUCAAAAGCUUCACACCCAUGAGACCCUUUCUCAGGAUAAACAACAGCACCCACCAAAGAGCCUCCAUAGUCUGGCAGACCAAAGUUGCCUAUAGCACCAUCAUGCUUAGAACUAAGACUCAUUGGAUACAGAACACUAAUACUACCCGUCUCCACCACAAACCGUGCAUGAACAUGGCUCUGGAGAAUUGCUAAUACCACAAGCAAAGCUGUAAGCUUUGGGAGAAAAGCCAUGCAAGCAGAGGCGCUGAUCACCUGCUAUGGCGAGGCUCCUCUGUGUUUUUGGCUUCUGUGUGUUUUGGGGUCUGAGAAGAGGUGGAGGCAAAUGAGGACGUGUCUGAAUGGAUUUUGCAACGGUCUACGGGUGGAGAGUGGUGAAAUAAGAAAGGUUGGUCGAGAGAGAGAGAGAGAGAGAGAGAGAGAGAAAGAGAGGUUUGUUUGUCGUAUAAGAGGGGUUUGGCUUUCUCUUUCGAGCUGUAACGUAAAGGAAACGGGACAGGUGAGAGAGAAGAAGGGUGGUAGACGGAGUCAUAGGAACCACUUCUACUAGGAAUCUCUUGGCAGAGGAGAGAGAGAGAGGGAGAGAGAGAGAGAGAGAGAAGAAGAAGAAGAAGUCAUACAAGUUUUUAAUGAAUUUUAAGUCUUAAAUUCAUCGAUUGGACAAACAUGUGUGUUUUUAAUGCUUAAGUUGUUAUUUAUGUAUUUCUUCAUUUUGAAGGAAACAGAGUUUUGCUUCUUAAAAUUUAUUUGAUGACAGAAUUAAUUAGUGUAGGUAGAAUUCAUAGGGACUAUGACGUUUCUGCUAUGGACCAAUUUUAACUGCCAAAAUCACUGUUAUUUUUAUACAAGCACUUAAUUAUAAAGUUUAAUUGUGUGUAGCUAUAUUCUAAGAAAUACAAGCACUUUAAUUAAAAGUGAUUAUAGCUUUUUAACAAUAAAGUUUGUCCUUUUCAAUCUGAAUCUUUCUGAUUGGACUUUCUCCUACAUGCUUUGGUGACUUGAAGAUUCAACAAUGAAAGUACACCAAGCUAAGCAAUAUCUAAUAGACUUCCCAUUAAUUAUUAAACUACUUUUAUUUGUGAGAUAACCAAUGUUAGACUUUUUAGCAUAUUGAUAUAAAAAAGCAGAAUGAUGCAAGCAGAUUCAUUUUUAAAAUGUUUAGGUAUAGCUGCAUUCAUGCUUUGCAUGAUGUUUUGAUCUGAUUCCAAAUUUACUUUAAGUUUUUAUGAUCAGCCUAUCUAGGUCAUGUUUCAUGCCUUAAGCGAUUGAUUAAGGAUUGACAGAUGGAGAUUAAGUCCUUAAAAGAUAAAGUUUUGAUAUGUCAAUUUUUAAAAUAAAUUGUUGUCAUAAUACACAUAUUUACUCUUGCUUCUUUCUAUCAUGGUUUUCUUUCUUUUUCACAAAUUUGAAAGUGAUUUCUCAUCACAUAAACUAAUCGAAACCCGAUUUCCAAUACUCACUUUUCUACAUCUUUAUAUUAAAGAAACAAGGGUUUCUCCGAAUUCAAGCAAAAAUGAUAUCUAAUUAUGAUUAAUUAGGUUGAUUUCCAAUACUCACUUUUCUACAUCAUUUUAAUCCAACGUUUGAUACUGGAUAAUUCAGAUGAGAUGUCCACCCCUACGCCUACGCGAUACACCCAAUUAGACAUAAUAGCAUGUUAGAAAUGAGAUUUUACAUAUGGCGCAAUAAAAUUGCUUUACAUAUAUUCUACAGAAUAGGUCAAUUGUAUUAGGAUAAGAAAGGAAAAAAUCAAAGCAAAAAGAGUAAGGGGAGGACUUGACCAUAAAAUUUCUAUAUCUCAAGUCGUCUCUAGAUAGUCAAAGAUAAAAUUGCUGACCUUGCAAGGCAAGUGUUUUGGAGUGUUUAAUGGGGCAAGCAAUUAUAAUAUGCCUCGCCACUGCAGGAAUUUAAUCUGCUCACCGACUGCAUCUCAUUGGACAGAAGAAUCAUGGGUCAACUUCAUUUGUGAGCUCAUUGAUCCUUUUGUUUUUCCUUCUAAUCACAACUGGUAGGUUACAUAUGAAUCCACGCCACAUGUUUCAGUUAAUUGGCUAAUACAAGCGUGACAAAUUAUAAUCCAAUUCCAAGUGGUGAACUAAUUUGCGCGUCGCUUACAUUGAUAUAACCGUCAUUACAUUUAAAAGGCAUAUUUGGAGGGCUACCCCUAUGUGGAUUAUUAUUAUAUUUUUUCCAAAUCAAAUCGACUAAUUCCAUUUCCCUUGGAGGGAUGCGACUAAAAUAGUGAAAACAUAUGCCCCACAUUGGAUCAAUAUAAAAUUAACAAACACGGCCAAGAAAUGGCUACAAACCAACUUAACAGAAGACAUAUCUCAACACAAAGAAAACGCAGAGUCUCCCCCUGAUUGUUGCAGAACGCAUAUCACUCACUUCAAUUCAUAGCAAUCUGUAGUUGAUUGCGACCGUAUAGCCGAAAAACCAAGAACGAAAACUAACAGGGAAAAAGAGCAUACUCGUCUGCAAAAUAGCAUCAAAACAAAAUGGAACUUGCAGUUUCAACAGAAAACCAUCCAUAAAUCCUGCUCAAAUUCAAAGUUAACACAUGACAUGGGCUCUCGAUUACAAUUUUCGGAGGAUAACUCUCAAGUAUCUAUAAAAUAAAACCAGAAUACAAGACAGCCUUAAAGAUAGUCAUAUCCCAUUGUGGGUACAAUUGGGCAUUCAUCUGCUCAUAGAGUUAAAUAUGACGCUUCU
Molecule: long non-coding RNA, 19243 nt
Filed under: Prunus persica (peach)
Lineage: Eukaryota; Viridiplantae; Streptophyta; Magnoliopsida; Rosales; Rosaceae
Description: long non-coding RNA (PPER_LNC004062)
Source: RNAcentral